UACGUAGGGUGCAAGCGUUGUCCGGAAUUAUUGGGCGUAAAGAGCUCGUAGGCGGUCAUUCGCGUCUGCUGUGAAAACUCGGGGCUUAACUCCGGGCCUGCAGUGGGUACGGGCUGACUAGAGUGCGGUAGGGGAGACUGGAAUUCCUGGUGUAGCGGUGAAAUGCGCAGAUAUCAGGAGGAACACCGGUGGCGAAGGCGGGUCGCUGGGCCGUAACUGACGCUGAGGAGCGAAAGCGUGGGGAGCGAACAGG
RNAcentral lists this ribosomal RNA (253 nucleotides) under uncultured bacterium. RNAcentral's name for it is "partial 16S ribosomal RNA". It matches the Rfam family "Bacterial small subunit ribosomal RNA", at positions 524 to 776 of the family's 1533-position model. The record is from RNAcentral.